GAUGAACGCUGGCGGCGUGCCUAAUACAUGCAAGUCGAGCGAACAGACGAGGAUCUUGCUCCUCUUCCGUUAGCGGCGGACGGGUGAGUAACACGUGGAUAACCUACCUAUAAGACUGGGAUCACUUCGGGAACCCGGAUCUAAUACCGGAUAAUAUAUUGAACCGCAUGGUUCAAUAGUGAAAGACGGUUUUGCUGUCACUUAUAGAUGUUUCCUCGCCGCAUUAGCUAGUUGGUAAGGUAACGGCUUACCAAGGCAACGAUGCGUAGCCGACCUGAGAGGGUGAUCGGCCACACUGGAACUGAGACACGGUCCAGACUCCUACGGGAGGCAGCAGUAGGGAAUAUUCCGCAAUGGGCGAAAGCUUGACGCAGCAACGCCGCGUGAGUGAUGAAGGUCUUCGGAUCGUAAAACUCUGUUAUUAGGGAAGAACAAAUGUGUAAGUAACUAUGCACGUCUUGACGGUACCUAAUCAGAAAGCCACGGCUAACUACGUG
This 497-nucleotide ribosomal RNA is filed under the name uncultured bacterium. RNAcentral's name for it is "partial 16S ribosomal RNA". It matches the Rfam family "Bacterial small subunit ribosomal RNA", at positions 28 to 507 of the family's 1533-position model. The record is from RNAcentral.